AUUGAACGCUGGCGGAAUGCUUUACACAUGCAAGUCGAACGGCAGCACGAGGGCAACCUUGGUGGCGAGUGGCGAACGGGUGAGUAAUACAUCGGAACGUGCCCAGUCGUGGGGGAUAACGUAGCGAAAGCUACGCUAAUACCGCAUACGAUCUAUGGAUGAAAGCGGGGGACCGUAAGGCCUCGCGCGAUUGGAGCGGCCGAUGGCAGAUUAGGUAGUUGGUGGGGUAAAGGCUCACCAAGCCUGCGAUCUGUAGCUGGUCUGAGAGGACGACCAGCCACACUGGAACUGAGACACGGUCCAGACUCCUACGGGAGGCAGGCAGUGGGGAAUUUUGGACAAUGGGCGCAAGCCUGAUCCAGCCAUUCCGCGUGCAGGAUGAAGGCC
This 387-nucleotide ribosomal RNA is filed under the name uncultured bacterium. Its description in RNAcentral is "bacterial SSU rRNA". It matches the Rfam family "Bacterial small subunit ribosomal RNA", at positions 30 to 416 of the family's 1533-position model. The record is from RNAcentral.